UACGUAGGGUGCGAGCGUUAAUCGGAAUUACUGGGCGUAAAGCGUGCGCAGGCGGUAAUGUAAGACAGAUGUGAAAUCCCCGGGCUCAACCUGGGACCUGCAUUUGUGACUGCAUUGCUGGAGUGCGGCAGAGGGGGAUGGAAUUCCGCGUGUAGCAGUGAAAUGCGUAGAUAUGCGGAGGAACACCGAUGGCGAAGGCAAUCCCCUGGGCCUGCACUGACGCUCAUGCACGAAAGCGUGGGGAGCAAACAGG
RNAcentral lists this ribosomal RNA (253 nucleotides) under uncultured bacterium. Its description in RNAcentral is "partial 16S ribosomal RNA". It matches the Rfam family "Bacterial small subunit ribosomal RNA", at positions 524 to 776 of the family's 1533-position model. The record is from RNAcentral.